GAUGAAGAACGUAGCGAAAUGCGAUAAGUAAUGCGAAUUGCAAAUUCAGUGAAUCAUCGAGUCUUUGAACGCACAUUGCGCCCCCUGGUAUUCCGGGGGGCAUGCCUGUCCGAGCGUCAUUGCUGCCCUCAAGCACGGCUUGUGUGUUGGGCCCCGUCCUCCGAUCCCGGGGGACGGGCCCGAAAGGCAGCGGCGGCACCGCGUCCGGUCCUCGAGCGUAUGGGGCUUUGUCACCCGCUCUGUAGGCCCGGCCGGCGCUUGCCGAUCAACCCAAAUUUUUAUCCAGGUUGACCUCGGAUCAGGUAGGGAUACCCGCUGAACUUAAGCAUAUCAAUAAGCGGAGGA
This 345-nucleotide unclassified non-coding RNA is filed under the name soil metagenome. RNAcentral's name for it is "partial contains 5.8S ribosomal RNA, internal transcribed spacer 2, and large subunit ribosomal RNA". The stretch from base 1 to 119 matches the Rfam family "5.8S ribosomal RNA", at positions 35 to 154 of the family's 154-position model. The record is from RNAcentral.